Long non-coding RNA from Pseudopipra pipra, 202 nucleotides. RefSeq lists it as uncharacterized. The transcript has 3 exons. NCBI's taxonomy places the organism in Eukaryota, Metazoa, Chordata, Aves, Passeriformes, Pipridae. The record is from RefSeq and is a predicted model, not a curated record.
AUUCCUAUGAGGCCUUCCUGGAUGUCCCCUUGGAUAUCAAAGCAGCCUCAUCCCUCACUGCAGCUCUGGAGGACUUUGUAACACCUGAGCACCUGGAUGGUGAAAACUGCUUUAAAUGUAGCAAGUGUGAGAAGAAUGUUGCCGCCACUAAGAGGUUCACUGUCCACUGUGCACCCAAGGUUCUCACUGUGUGUCUGAAGAG